UACGUAGGGUGCGAGCGUUGUCCGGAAUUAUUGGGCGGAAAGGGCUCGUAGGCGGUUUGUCACGUCGGGAGUGAAAACUCAGGGCUUAACCCUGAGCCUGCUUCCGAUACGGGCAGACUAGAGGUAUGCAGGGGAGAACGGAAUUCCUGGUGUAGCGGUGAAAUGCGCAGAUAUCAGGAGGAACACCGGUGGCGAAGGCGGUUCUCUGGGCAUUACCUGACGCUGAGGAGCGAAAGUGUGGGGAGCGAACAGG
Molecule: ribosomal RNA, 253 nt
Filed under: uncultured bacterium
Lineage: Bacteria
Description: partial 16S ribosomal RNA
Rfam family: Bacterial small subunit ribosomal RNA
Source: RNAcentral